RNAcentral lists this non-coding RNA (45 nucleotides) under Schistosoma mattheei. The record is from RNAcentral. Lineage: Eukaryota; Metazoa; Platyhelminthes; Trematoda; Strigeidida; Schistosomatidae.
AUCCAACUGACGAGUCCCAAAUAGGAUAAAAUACGUGUACUGGAU